RNAcentral lists this ribosomal RNA (794 nucleotides) under uncultured bacterium. RNAcentral describes it as "bacterial SSU rRNA". It matches the Rfam family "Bacterial small subunit ribosomal RNA", at positions 27 to 857 of the family's 1533-position model. The record is from RNAcentral.
GGACGAACGCUGGCGGCGUGCGUAAUGCAUGCAAGUCGAACGCAUUCUUCGGAAUGAGUGGCGCACGGCUGAGGAACACGUGACUAACCUACCCCGGUGUGGGGGAUAACGGGUCGAAAGACUCGCUAAUCCAGCAUACGAUAUCGCAAGAUAGGAAAGCCGCAAGGCGCACUGGGCGGGGGUCGCGUCCCAUUAGAUAGUUGGUGUGGUAAUGGCGCACCAAGUCGAUGAUGGGUCUCUGGUCUGAGAGGACGACCAGACAGAUUGGGACUGAGACACGGCCCAAACUCCUACGGGGGGCAGCAGCAAGGAAUUUUCGGCAAUGGGCGCAAGCCUGACCGAGCAACGCCGCGUGGAGGAUGACGGCUCUUGGGUUGUAAACUCCUUUUGGGGGGGACGAUAAUGACGGUACCCUCCGAAUCAGGCCCGGCUAACUACGUGCCAGCAGCCGCGGUAAUACGUAGGGGCCAAGCGUUGUCCGGAAUUACUGGGCGUAAAGCGUGGGUAGGUGGUCGGUGAUGUGCCGCGUGAAAGCGCCGGAGUAAUGCCGGCGAGGUCGCGGUAGACACACGGACUAGAGGCUCGCAGAGGAACGUGGAAUUCCCGGUGUAGUGGUGAAAUGCGUAGAUAUCGGGAGGAACACCAGUGGCGCAAGCGGCGUUCUGGGCGAGACCUGACACUGAGCCACGACGGCGUGGGGAGCAAACAGGAUUAGAUACCCUGGUAGUCCACGCAGUAAACGAUGCAUACCAGGUGUGGGAUGGCGUUCGCGUCGUUCCGUGCCGCAGCUUACG